AGGUCUUGACAUACCGAUGACAGGUCUAGAGAUAGAUUUUCCCUUUUAGGGCAUCGGAUACAGGUGGUGCAUGGUUGUCGUCAGCUCGUGUCGUGAGAUGUUGGGUUAAGUCCCGNAACGAGCGCAACCCCUAUUGUUAGUUGCCAUCAUUAAGUUGGGCACUCUAGCGAGACUGCCAGUAAUAAACUGGAGGAAGGUGGGGAUGACGUCAAAUCAUCAUGCCCCUUAUGACCUGGGCUACACACGUGCUACAAUGGGAAGUACAACGAGUUGCGAGGCGGUGACGCCAAGCUAAUCUCUUAAAGCUUCUCUCAGUUCGGAUUGUAGGUUGCAACUCGCCUACAUGAAGUCGGAAUCGCUAGUAAUCGCGGAUCAGCACGCCGCGGUGAAUACGUUCCCGGGCCUUGUACACACCGCCCGUCACACCACGAGAGUUUGUAACACCCGAAGUCGGUGAGGUAACCGUAAGGAGCCAACCGCCUAAGGUGGGAUAGAUGAUUGGGGUGAAGUCGUAACAAGGUAAGCGUAGAUGA
Molecule: ribosomal RNA, 533 nt
Filed under: uncultured bacterium
Lineage: Bacteria
Description: bacterial SSU rRNA
Rfam family: Bacterial small subunit ribosomal RNA
Source: RNAcentral